GCCUUCUUCGUGUAACUGGACAGCACGUCCGGUUGGCAAUCGGAAGGUCCGGAGUUCGAAUCCUGGCGAAGUCA
RNAcentral lists this transfer RNA (74 nucleotides) under Stegodyphus mimosarum. It matches the Rfam family "tRNA". Rfam says of the family: Transfer RNA (tRNA) molecules are approximately 80 nucleotides in length. Their secondary structure includes four short double-helical elements and three loops (D, anti-codon, and T loops). The record is from Rfam by way of RNAcentral. Lineage: Eukaryota; Metazoa; Arthropoda; Arachnida; Araneae; Eresidae.